GACGAACGCUGGCGGCGUGCUUAACACAUGCAAGUCGAACGGAAAGGCCCUGCUUUUGUGGGGUGCUCGAGUGGCGAACGGGUGAGUAACACGUGAGUAACCUGCCCUUGACUUUGGGAUAACUUCAGGAAACUGGGGCUAAUACCGGAUAGGAGCUCCUGCUGCAUGGUGGGGGUUGGAAAGUUUCGGCGGUUGGGGAUGGACUCGCGGCUUAUCAGCUUGUUGGUGGGGGAGUGGCUUACCAAGGCUUUGACGGGUAGCCGGCCUGAGAGGGUGACCGGCAACAUUGGGACUGAGAUACGGCCCAGACUCCUACGGGAGGCAGCAGUGGGGAAUAUUGCACAAUGGGCGGAAGCCUGAUGCAGCAACGCCGCGUGCGGGAUGACGGCCUUCGGGUUGUAAACCGCUUUCGCCUGUGACGAAGCGUGAGUGACGGUAAUGGGUAAAGAAGCACCGGCUAACUACGUG
This 468-nucleotide ribosomal RNA is filed under the name uncultured bacterium. RNAcentral's name for it is "partial 16S ribosomal RNA". It matches the Rfam family "Bacterial small subunit ribosomal RNA", at positions 28 to 507 of the family's 1533-position model. The record is from RNAcentral.